UAAGGGAUAUUGCGCAAUGGGCGAAAGCCUGACGCAGCAACGCCGCGUGAAGGAUGACGGCCUUCGGGUUGUAAACUUCUUUUAGCGCUGACGAGGAAGGACGGUAGGCGCUGAAUCAGUCACGGCUAACUACGUGCCAGCAGCCGCGGUAAAACGUAGGUGGCAAGCGUUAUCCGGAUUUACUGGGCGUAAAGGGUGUGCAGGCGGGGAAACAAGUGGUGUAUGAAAUCGCCACGCUUAACGUGGCGGGGUUAUGCCAGACUGUUUUUCUGGAGGACGAGAGAGGGGCGUGGAAUUCCGGGUGUAGUGGUGAAAUGCGUAGAGAUCCGGAGGAACCCCAGAGGCGAAGGCGGCGCCCUGGCUCGUACCUGACGCUCAGACACGACAGCAUGGGGAGCGAACGGGAUUAGAUACCCGUGUAGUCC
This 425-nucleotide ribosomal RNA is filed under the name uncultured bacterium. RNAcentral describes it as "bacterial SSU rRNA". It matches the Rfam family "Bacterial small subunit ribosomal RNA", at positions 355 to 796 of the family's 1533-position model. The record is from RNAcentral.